AACUUCGGAAGAAGGUGUGCCCUAGUAGUGUGAAGUGAACAACGGAGCAUGAAUGGGUUGCAAAAAAUCGGUGGCUGCGACUGUUUAUUAAAAACACAGCACUCUGCAAACACGAAAGUGGACGUAUAGGGUGUGACGCCUGCCCGGUGCUGGAAGAUUAAAUGAUGGGGUGCAAGCUCUUGAUUGAAGUCCCAGUAAACGGCGGCCGUAACGAUAACGGUCCUAAGGUAGCGAAAUUCCUUGUCGGGUAAGUUCCGACCUGCACGAAUGGCGUAACGAUGGCCACACUGUCUCCUCCCGAGACUCAGCGAAGUUGAAAUGUUUGUGAUGAUGCAAUCUCCCCGCGGAAAGACGGAAAGACCCCAUGAACCUUUACUGUAGCUUUGUAUUGGACUUUGAACAGAUCUGUGUAGGAUAGGUGGGAGGCUUUGAAGCAGGGUCGCUAGAUCUUGUGGAGCCAACGUUGAAAUACCACCCUGGUGUGUUUGAGGUUCUAACCUAGGUCCAUUAUCUGGAUCGGGGACAGUGCAUGGUAGGCAGUUUGACUGGGACGGUCUCCUCCCAAAGCGUAACGGAGGAGUUCGAAGGUACGCUAGUUACGGUCGGACAUCGUGACGAUAGUGCAAUGGCAUAAGCGUGCUUAACUGCGAGACUGACAAGUCGAGCAGAUGCGAAAGCAGGACAUAGUGAUCCGGUGGUUCUGUAUGGAAGGGCCAUCGCUCAACGGAUAAAAGGUACUCUGGGGAUAACAGGCUGAUACCGCCCAAGAGUUCAUAUCGACGGCGGUGUUUGGCACCUCGAUGUCGGCUCAUCUCAUCCUGGGGCUGUAGCCGGUCCCAAGGGUAUGGCUGUUCGCCAUUUAAAGAGGUACGUGAGCUGGGUUUAAAGCGUCGUGAGACAGUUUGGUCCCUAUCUUCCGUGGGCGCUGCAGAUUCAGGAAGCCUGCUCCUAGUACGAGAGGACCGGAGUGGACGCACCUCUGGUGUAUCGGUUGUCACGCCAGUGGCAUUGCCGAGUAGCUAUGUGCGGAAGAGAUAACCGCUGAAAGCAUCUAAGCGGGAAACUCGUUCCAAGAUGAGAUCUGCCGGGGCCUUGAGCCCCCUAAAGAGUCGUUCAAGACCAGGACGUUGAUAGGUCAGGUGUGGAAGCGCAGUAAUGCGUUAAGCUAACUGAUACUAAUUGCUCGUGCGGCUUGACCCU
This 1200-nucleotide ribosomal RNA is filed under the name metagenome. RNAcentral describes it as "bacterial LSU rRNA". It matches the Rfam family "Bacterial large subunit ribosomal RNA", at positions 1732 to 2925 of the family's 2925-position model. The record is from RNAcentral.